This 301-nucleotide ribosomal RNA is filed under the name uncultured bacterium. RNAcentral's name for it is "partial 16S ribosomal RNA". It matches the Rfam family "Bacterial small subunit ribosomal RNA", at positions 509 to 807 of the family's 1533-position model. The record is from RNAcentral.
CAGUCGCCACGGUAAUACGUAGGGUGCGAGCGUUAAUCGGAAUUACUGGGCGUAAAGCGUGCGCAGGCGGUUAUAUAAGACAGAUGUGAAAUCCCCGGGCUCAACCUGGGACCUGCAUUUGUGACUGUAUAGCUAGAGUACGGUAGAGGGGGAUGGAAUUCCGCGUGUAGCAGUGAAAUGCGUAGAUAUGCGGAGGAACACCGAUGGCGACGGCAAUCCCCUGGACCAGUACUGACGCUCAUGCACGAAAGCGUGGGGAGCAAACAGGAUUAGAUACCCCAGUAGUCCCUGUCUCUUAUAC